GAUGAACGCUGGCGGCGUGCCUAAUACAUGCAAGUCGAGCGAACAGACGAGGAGCUUGCUCCUCUGACGUUAGCGGCGGACGGGUGAGUAACACGUGGAUAACCUACCUAUAAGACUGGGAUAACUUCGGGAAACCGGAGCUAAUACCGGAUAAUAUAUUGAACCGCAUGGUUCAAUAGUGAAAGACGGUUUUGCUGUCACUUAUAGAUGGAUCCGCGCCGCAUUAGCUAGUUGGUAAGGUAACGGCUUACCAAGGCGACGAUGCGUAGCCGACCUGAGAGGGUGAUCGGCCACCCUGGAACUGAGCCACGGUCCACACUCCUACGGGAGGCAGCAGUAGGGAAUCUUCCGCAAUGGGCGAAAGCCUGACGGAGCAACGCCGCGUGAGUGAUGAAGGUCUUCGGAUCGUAGAACUCUGUUAUUAGGGAAGAACAAAUGCGUAAGUAACUAUGCACGUCUUGACGGUACCUAAUCAGAAAGCCACGGCUAACUACGUG
This 497-nucleotide ribosomal RNA is filed under the name uncultured bacterium. RNAcentral describes it as "partial 16S ribosomal RNA". It matches the Rfam family "Bacterial small subunit ribosomal RNA", at positions 28 to 507 of the family's 1533-position model. The record is from RNAcentral.